Molecule: transfer RNA, 75 nt
Filed under: Nanobdellota archaeon
Lineage: Archaea; Nanobdellati; Nanobdellota
Description: tRNA-Pro
Rfam family: tRNA
About the family: Transfer RNA (tRNA) molecules are approximately 80 nucleotides in length. Their secondary structure includes four short double-helical elements and three loops (D, anti-codon, and T loops). Further hydrogen bonds mediate the characteristic L-shaped molecular structure. tRNAs have two regions of fundamental functional importance: the anti-codon, which is responsible for specific mRNA codon recognition, and the 3' end, to which the tRNAs corresponding amino acid is attached (by aminoacyl-tRNA synthetases). tRNAs cope with the degeneracy of the genetic code in two manners: having more than one tRNA (with a specific anti-codon) for a particular amino acid; and 'wobble' base-pairing, i.e. permitting non-standard base-pairing at the 3rd anti-codon position.
Source: RNAcentral
GGGGCUGUGGGGUAGCUUGGUCCAUCCUCUCUGGCUUGGGACCAGAUGACCCCGGUUCAAAUCCGGGCAGCCCCA